GACGAACGCUGGCGGCGUGCCUAAUACAUGCAAGUAGAACGCACAGAUUAUACCGUUGCUUGCUACACCAUAGACGGUGAGGUGCGAACGGGUGAGUAACGCGUAGGUAACCUGCCUGGUAGAGGGUGAUAACAAUUGGAAACGAUAGCUAAUACCGCAUAAUAUUGAUUAUUGCAUGAUAAUUAAUGGAAAGGUGCAAUUGCACCACUACCAGCUGGACCUGUGUUGUAUUAGCUAGUAGGAAAGGUAACGGCUCACUAAGGCAACGAAACAUAGCCGACCUGAGAGGGUGAUCGGCCACCUGGGACCUGGGCCCCGCCCAGACUUCUUCGGGGGGCAGCCGUAGGGGAUCCUCGGCCAUGGACGGAAGGCUUGACGGGGCACGGCGGCGGAGUGGAGGAGGGUUUCGGGUCGUAAAGCUCUGUUGUUAGGGAAGAACGGGUGUGGGAGUGGAAAGUUCACACUGUGACGGUACCUUAUCAGAAAGGGACGGCUAACUACGUG
This 504-nucleotide ribosomal RNA is filed under the name uncultured bacterium. RNAcentral describes it as "partial 16S ribosomal RNA". It matches the Rfam family "Bacterial small subunit ribosomal RNA", at positions 28 to 507 of the family's 1533-position model. The record is from RNAcentral.